This 353-nucleotide long non-coding RNA is filed under the name Gossypium barbadense (sea-island cotton). Its description in RNAcentral is "long non-coding RNA (GBAR_LNC008191)". The record is from RNAcentral. Lineage: Eukaryota; Viridiplantae; Streptophyta; Magnoliopsida; Malvales; Malvaceae.
CUAAUUGGGCUUGUUUAUUUGGUCUUCUAUAUUUGGGCUCAAGUUAAUCAAGGUAAGUAUAUUUCUAUUUUUUUUUCAAUUCCCACUCAAGACUGGAUUCUUCUUAAUUUAUAGGUAAAUAGGUUGAUCCAUGCGGGAGGAGCUAAUUGGGCUUGUUUAUUUGGUCUUCUUAUGUGGCAUAUUUAGAAAAACUGCAGCUUAUACAUCUUUUAAGGCAAACCGUGAAGCUCUAAUGAAAUUGUUCAAGGAUUCGUUAGCUGGGCGAUUCAACUUCACUCUGGUCCUCAGGAAGUCCCUUUCGCCUGUCUUAGAUAAUUUUCUGAAACACGCCUCACUGAAGAGCGAGUUUUUCU